GACGAACGCUGGCGGCGUGCUUAACACAUGCAAGUCGAACGGUAAGGCCCUUUCGGGGGUACACGAGUGGCGCACGGGUGAGUAACACGUGGGUGAUCUGCCCUGCACUUUGGGAUAAGACUGGGAAACUGGGUCUAAUACCGGAUAGGACUACGUGAUGCAUGUCGUGUGGUGGAAAGCUUUUGCGGUGUGGGAUGGGCCCGCGGCCUAUCAGCUUGUUGGUGGGGUGAUGGCCUACCAAGGGGACGACGGGUAGCCGGCCUGAGAGGGUGUCCGGCCACACUGCGACUGAGAUACGGCCCAGACUGCAACGGGAGGCAGCAGUGGGAAAUAUUGCACAAUGGGCGCAAGCCUGAUGCAGCGACGCCGCGUGGGGGAUAACGGCCUUCGGGUUGUAAACCCCUUUCAGCACAGACGAAGCGUAAGUGACGGUAUGUGCAGAAGAAGCACCGGCCAACUACGUG
Molecule: ribosomal RNA, 464 nt
Filed under: uncultured bacterium
Lineage: Bacteria
Description: partial 16S ribosomal RNA
Rfam family: Bacterial small subunit ribosomal RNA
Source: RNAcentral